GCCCUAGUAGCUUAACGUUUUAAAGCGCCG
This 30-nucleotide transfer RNA is filed under the name Engraulis encrasicolus (European anchovy). RNAcentral's name for it is "partial tRNA-Thr". Lineage: Eukaryota; Metazoa; Chordata; Actinopteri; Clupeiformes; Engraulidae. The record is from RNAcentral.